CUGACUGAUAGCUCGUUCUAGCGGUGAAAUAGCAGGAAACAACAUAGCCCAUUCAUAUCCUGCCCUCAUGAUAGGAGUACAUAGUAAAAGGCUAUGACUAUAUAUAAAAGGGUAAAAACCUCAGAAAGGGAGAGGGGCUUUCUCCCUCCAUCUUUCUCUUCUCGGUAAUCUUCAUAAUUGAAAAGAAGAACGAAGCAAUGGAAAAAAUAUGUAAAACGC
Molecule: long non-coding RNA, 219 nt
Filed under: Nicotiana benthamiana
Lineage: Eukaryota; Viridiplantae; Streptophyta; Magnoliopsida; Solanales; Solanaceae
Description: long non-coding RNA (NBEN_LNC010402)
Source: RNAcentral